This 541-nucleotide ribosomal RNA is filed under the name uncultured Gallionellaceae bacterium. Its description in RNAcentral is "bacterial SSU rRNA". It matches the Rfam family "Bacterial small subunit ribosomal RNA", at positions 135 to 671 of the family's 1533-position model. Lineage: Bacteria; Pseudomonadati; Pseudomonadota; Betaproteobacteria; Nitrosomonadales; Gallionellaceae. The record is from RNAcentral.
AAUGGGGGAUAACGUAGCGAAAGUUACGCUAAUACCGCAUAUGCCCUGAGGGGGAAAGGUGGGGAUCGCAAGACCUAUCGUUUUCGGAGUGGCCGAUAUCAGAUUAGCUAGUUGGUGGGGUAAAGGCCCACCAAGGCGACGAUCUGUAGCGGGUCUGAGAGGAUGAUCCGCCACACUGGGACUGAGACACGGCCCAGACUCCUACGGGAGGCAGCAGUGGGGAAUUUUGGACAAUGGGGGCAACCCUGAUCCAGCCAUGCCGCGUGAGUGAAGAAGGCCUUCGGGUUGUAAAGCUCUUUCAGCCGGAAAGAAAUCGCGCAGGCUAAUAUCCUGCGUGGAUGACGGUACCGGAAGAAGAAGCACCGGCUAACUACGUGCCAGCAGCCGCGGUAAUACGUAGGGUGCGAGCGUUAAUCGGAAUUACUGGGCGUAAAGCGUGCGCAGGCGGUUUUGUAAGACAGGUGUGAAAUCCCCGGGCUUAACCUGGGAACUGCAUUUGUGACUGCAAGGCUAGAGUGUGGCAGAGGGGGGUAGAAUUCCG